CCUUAUUGUUAGUUGCCAUCAUUCAGUUGGGCACUCUAGCGAGACUGCCGGUAAUAAACCGGAGGAAGGUGGGGAUGACGUCAAAUCAUCAUGCCCCUUAUGACCUGGGCUACACACGUGCUACAAUGGUUGGUACAACGAGUCGCAAGUCGGUGACGGCAAGCAAAUCUCUUAAAGCCAAUCUCAGUUCGGAUUGUAGGCNGCAACUCGCCUACAUGAAGUCGGAAUCGCUAGUAAUCGCGGAUCAGCACGCCGCGGUGAAUACGUUCCCGGGCCUUGUACACACCGCCCGUCACACCACGAGAGUUUGUAACACCCGAAGUCGGUGAGGUAACCGUAAGGAGCCAGCCGCCUAAGGU
This 359-nucleotide ribosomal RNA is filed under the name Streptococcus alactolyticus. Its description in RNAcentral is "bacterial SSU rRNA". It matches the Rfam family "Bacterial small subunit ribosomal RNA", at positions 1103 to 1463 of the family's 1533-position model. Lineage: Bacteria; Bacillati; Bacillota; Bacilli; Lactobacillales; Streptococcaceae. The record is from RNAcentral.